AGUUAGCCCUGAUGGUAGUGGCAUCCUUUUAUGCUGAUCCCGACAUUUCGGGAUGGCAUGAAAGAUAGAACGGACAGCGGGAGGAGUG
Molecule: small RNA, 88 nt
Filed under: Flavobacterium sp. 123
Lineage: Bacteria; Pseudomonadati; Bacteroidota; Flavobacteriia; Flavobacteriales; Flavobacteriaceae
Description: Flavo-1 RNA
Rfam family: Flavo-1 RNA
Source: Rfam by way of RNAcentral